AAGAGGGAGAUGGGAGGUGAAACAGAAGGAAGAGGGCCUCCGGGAAGAAAAUUAGGGACUGUCUAUGAUAUCCAGGGAUUUUUGCAAAGACAGUGAGGAUUGUGAUUACAGAUAGAGCCCCAAGCAGUUGGCUUUUCUAACAGUCUUCUGUGUCCCUUAGUGAAGGCAGGUAUGCAGUGAAGAGGAUAAACACAAACCCCUGGCUGCUUCUGAGGUCUAGCAAUGCUUGGAUUUGUCGAAAGAAUGGAGCUUUCUCUGUUGGGAAAUGGGCACAAAGACACAAACCCGGGGCUUAACCCGCUAGACAAUGCAUGGAAUGUGAACACAAGUUAAUUAUUUCAAAAUGUGUAUCAGAUGUUAUUUAAAUGAUAAUAUAUUCAAUGAUUUUUUUCAUAAUUUAUCGAAGCCUGUGAGAUGCACUGGAUUUCCUUUGUCACAUAGUUUUGAUUUUUGCAGCCUUCUGCAUUGCACACGUGAACUGGACCUUAGGGCAAGCUGCUUGAGAGAGUUCUCGACUACAUUUUUAAACAGUGUUCUGUGAAGGCCUGUGAGUGUCAUGAUAAAACUGUGAAUGACUACAUAGGGACUCUGAUUAGACUAUUGGUUAGGCUCCUGUGGUUUGUAUAGGUCUCCAAUUCCUACUUACUUUGAUGUAUUCCACAAAACCCACCCUGGGUUUUUGUCUCCCCCCCCUCUCUCUUUCUCUCUUUUUUUAUCUGAUUCUUUCCUCUCUACUUACUUAAGUUGCCACUAAAAUAAAUGUGCCUUUUGAAGCAAUGCCC
Molecule: long non-coding RNA, 782 nt
Filed under: Mus musculus (house mouse)
Lineage: Eukaryota; Metazoa; Chordata; Mammalia; Rodentia; Muridae
Description: long non-coding RNA chr9:95561270-95562052
Source: RNAcentral